Molecule: ribosomal RNA, 253 nt
Filed under: uncultured bacterium
Lineage: Bacteria
Description: partial 16S ribosomal RNA
Rfam family: Bacterial small subunit ribosomal RNA
Source: RNAcentral
UACGUAGGGUGCGAGCGUUAAUCGGAAUUACUGGGCGUAAAGGGUGCGCAGGCGGUUGCGGAAGUCAGGCGUGAAAUCCCCGGGCUUAACCUGGGAAUGGCGCUUGAAACUACGUGACUGGAGUAUGGCAGAGGGAGGUGGAAUUCCACGUGUAGCGGUGAAAUGCGUAGAGAUGUGGAGGAACACCGAUGGCGAAGGCAGCCUCCUGGGCCAAUACUGACGCUCAGGCACGAAAGCGUGGGGAGCAAACAGG